GACAGGCGUGGCCUAAUGGUUAGAGAGUCAGAAUUAUAAUCUGAAGGUCAUGGGUUCGUGUCUCAGGUCUGGCA
This is a non-coding RNA of Pangasius djambal, 74 nucleotides long. NCBI's taxonomy places the organism in Eukaryota, Metazoa, Chordata, Actinopteri, Siluriformes, Pangasiidae. The record is from the annotation of a GenBank genome assembly.